This 73-nucleotide transfer RNA is filed under the name bacterium. Its description in RNAcentral is "tRNA-Lys". It matches the Rfam family "tRNA". From Rfam's summary of the family: Transfer RNA (tRNA) molecules are approximately 80 nucleotides in length. Their secondary structure includes four short double-helical elements and three loops (D, anti-codon, and T loops). Further hydrogen bonds mediate the characteristic L-shaped molecular structure. tRNAs have two regions of fundamental functional importance: the anti-codon, which is responsible for specific mRNA codon recognition, and the 3' end, to which the tRNAs corresponding amino acid is attached (by aminoacyl-tRNA synthetases). tRNAs cope with the degeneracy of the genetic code in two manners: having more than one tRNA (with a specific anti-codon) for a particular amino acid; and 'wobble' base-pairing, i.e. permitting non-standard base-pairing at the 3rd anti-codon position. RNAcentral also lists the same sequence under 3 other names. The record is from RNAcentral.
GACCUCGUAGCUCAGUUGGUAGAGCAACAGACUUUUAAUCCGUAGGUCCUGGGUUCGAGUCCCAGCGAGGUCA